UGUUCUGGGGCCCAGGCAGCGCAGGGACCUUUACAAGGAUUCUGCUCUCUGAAGCCAAGAGCAGGAAUCUCAUAAAUUCAAGGAGACUGCCAGCCCCACGUGGCUUUCCGGCUGUGUAGCACACAGGCAAAGUUAUCUGCUGUGAUCUGUCCUGAUCCCUGAUAUCGUGGCAUCCCAGAGCUGAGGAAAAGUUACAACGGGAUUGAAGCCAGUGCACGCACAGAGGAAUGACAAGAUGGGGGCACCAAGGCCUGAAUCAGGAUGGGGAAAAAAUGCAAAUUCUUCACUAAAUCCCCACAAGACGUUGCAGGAAAGAAAAUCAUUGCUACUCCUGUAUAGGAAAAGUUGCUUGAAGCCGUAGGACAAGUUCAAAACAAAUUCUGAAAACAGUUGUGCUCAGCAUCAGGGCUGUGAAAGAAGCUACAGGGAACCCAGGGCUGAAGGGUAAUAGCAAGGGACUAUUAAUAACAGGAGGGAUCAAUGGGAUGAACGUGCCGUGGAGUGUUUGAUGCAUUAUCGUGUCAAACGGCAGCCACAACAUCACAGUAAUCCUAUAAAGUGCUGGAGUCUGGGGUAUUCCAGUGGAAUCCCCCCGAACCUCUUCGUCACUGCUUAUGAACCAGAAAGAGCUGGACACGCGCUUGGCCUUGGAGGAAUUACAGCACUGGGUCACUCGGGUGGAAGUUCCUGCAGAGACUCGGUGCCAACACGACGCUGCCCUGAUCUGGCAAAAGGGAUUUACAGCACUGCUCUCUGCCUGACUCGGGAUGAUGGGUGGCCCAGGAACGAGCAAUCCACAUCCCAGGACUGGGCUCCAUGGAAUGGACAGAUGUUGGGCAAGGAAGCAGCAGCCCUGGGAUGAGAAAUGCCCAGAUGUCCAUGGGUCAAGAUUCCAUAGGGAUAUUUCAGCUCGAUUCUCGACAUAAUCCGUAUGCAGGAGGUCUCCUUGACUCAAAGAUGUGUUGUAGGCAGGCAGAGGAAUUGCCUUCUCAUGCCCUUUACACAGUCUUGUUUCUGUUCAGUCUGAGGAGGAAGGCCUUGGUCCAAGAAUAUUGAAACUUGAUUUAUUCACACAGAGGACAAUGGAACUGAUUCCAUCCUGAAGGACUCUUUUGCCUAAAAUUGCUGUUUCACAGCUUCCCUUGAGCAGGAGUAGGAGCUCUCCAGGAUUCCUCUAUCAGUGUGAACGUGUCUGAUCCAUUUCAUCAGGGAAGGUGCUCCCUGUCUGUCAGGCCAGAGGACAGUGUGUAAAAACCUUUGUGGAAGGGUAAAACCUCGACAGUCCACAGGUGUUCUGGUUUAUUACUGACACUUGCAACUGCAAAUGAGAAUAUAGGAAAUUUCAUAGUGCUUUCACUGUGAGACUAUCCCAGCAGUGGUUUAUAAACAAGGAGAUAAGCAGCUAAGUACCACUAAUGACGAGGAGUUAAGAGAUAUUUCCUGGUUGUCCGGAUGGAAAUAGCUUCCAACUUCCUUUUUUUCCCCCUCUACCUCCCAGACCAGCUGGGAAAGUUUCUGUUUCCUAGAUUCAAGGUGCGACUGUGCACCUCCUCGAUUUUUGGGGUGAAAAAAAAUGGA
Melospiza melodia melodia is the source of this 1578-nucleotide long non-coding RNA. RefSeq lists it as uncharacterized. The record is from RefSeq and is a predicted model, not a curated record. The transcript is spliced from 3 exons. Lineage: Eukaryota; Metazoa; Chordata; Aves; Passeriformes; Passerellidae.